RNAcentral lists this ribosomal RNA (193 nucleotides) under uncultured bacterium. RNAcentral's name for it is "partial 16S ribosomal RNA". It matches the Rfam family "Bacterial small subunit ribosomal RNA", at positions 1308 to 1500 of the family's 1533-position model. The record is from RNAcentral.
AAACUCGCCUACAUGAAGCUGGAGUUACUAGUAAUCGCAGAUCAGAAUGCUGCGGUGAAUGCGUUCCCGGGUCUUGUACACACCGCCCGUCACACCAUGGGAGUUGGAAAUGCCCGAAGUCAGUGACCCAACCAAAAGGAGGGAGCUGCCGAAGGCAGGUUCGAUGACUGGGGUGAAGUCGUAACAAGGUAAC